GACGAACGCUGGUGGCGUGCUUAACACAUGCAAGUCGAACGGGAUUUAGUAAACAGAAGCCUCGGUGGAAGAUUACUAAUGAGAGUGGCGAACGGGUGAGUAACGCGUGAGCAACCUGCCUAUGACAGUGGGAUAGCCUCGGGAAACCGGGAUUAAUACCGCAUAAAAUCGUAGAAACACAUGUUUUAACGGUCAAAGAUUUAUCGGUCAUAGAUGGGCUCGCGUCUGAUUAGCUAGUUGGUGAGAUAACAGCCCACCAAGGCGACGAUCAGUAGCCGGUCUGAGAGGAUGAGCGGCCACAUUGGAACUGAGACACGGUCCAAACUCCUACGGGAGGCAGCAGUGGGGAAUAUUGCACAAUGGGGGAAACCCUGAUGCAGCGACGCCGCGUGAACGAAGAAGGUAUUCGCAUCGUAAAGUUCUGUCCUAUGGGAAGAUAAUGACAGUACCAUAGAAGAAAGCUCCGGCUAAAUACGUG
RNAcentral lists this ribosomal RNA (478 nucleotides) under uncultured bacterium. RNAcentral's name for it is "partial 16S ribosomal RNA". It matches the Rfam family "Bacterial small subunit ribosomal RNA", at positions 28 to 507 of the family's 1533-position model. The record is from RNAcentral.